AAGGGCACCACAAGAACGCGUGGAGCAUGUGGCUUAAUUUGACUCAACGCGGGAAAUCUUACCGGGUCCGGACACACUGAGGAUUGACAGGCAAUCAUGUGAUGCCUUUGCUUUUUUUUUUUUUUAAAUAAUAGCAUUGGCUUACAUAUAAAUAUGCUAGUCCUUUCAUGAUUAUGUGAUAGGUGGUGCAUGGCCGUUCUUAGUUCGUGGAGUGAUCUGUCUGCUUAAUUGCGUUUCGCAUAGGACUUAUACUAAAAGUGCGCUGCAUUUCUUGUGUCUCACUUUUUUUACGUAACCGUAGAGGAGUGUUUCACUAUGACUGGAAGUGUAUGCGCAUGCUAAGUUCUGAAAGCAACGAACGUGACCGCAUCCUCUUGUUGCCCUUUACCUCAACAAACGCUUUGGAUUCUCGCAAUCUGAUUCUGCUGUCGUGACCAAAGAGGCCUUAUAAAACUAGAGGGACCGCUGCGACUUUUUUAAACCAGAGGAAGGUUGCGGCAAUAACAGGUCUGUGAUGCCCUUAGAUGUUCCGGGCUGCACACGUGCUACAAUGAUUAUUGCAGUGAGCAUCUCAUUUUUUUUAAACACUGUUUAACGAAAAAAAAUAUUAUUUUUUUUAGAGUUUCGCAGUCAAGCCUGCUUCGAAAGUUUUGCAGGUAAUCAAUUGGAAGUAAUGAUUUCUUUAAAAUUCAAAUUAAUUUUUGAUUUUUGUGUGAAGGCACACAAUAUGCUGCUCCCCUCCCUGGCAGUUUGCCUCAUUUUGGUCAUUCUGUCUUCAGUGUGUGGGGAUGUUUUUUCGGCAUGUGCUUUUUGUCAAUUCAUGGUGGGGACAGACCAUUAUUAAUUGUUGGUCUCGGUCUUAACUAGGAAUGCCUUGUACGGGUCUUUGGUUCAACAAACCACCCGGAAUACGUCCCUGCCCUUUGUACACACCGCCCGUCGCUCUUACCGAUGGACUUCUCUGUGAGUUUGAGGGACUGGGUACCUUAGCCUAAGAAUUUAAUUUUUUUUUUUUUUUUGAGCUAUAAUCACUUAUGGAAACUUAAACGAACAGUGUGGUCUAAAGGAAAGAGAAGUCGUAACAAGGCAUCGGUAGGUGAACCUGCAGAAGGAUCA
Molecule: ribosomal RNA, 1116 nt
Filed under: Foraminifera environmental sample
Lineage: Eukaryota; Foraminifera
Description: partial 18S ribosomal RNA
Rfam family: Eukaryotic small subunit ribosomal RNA
Source: RNAcentral